Molecule: ribosomal RNA, 896 nt
Filed under: Knightiella queenslandica
Lineage: Eukaryota; Fungi; Ascomycota; Lecanoromycetes; Pertusariales; Icmadophilaceae
Description: partial large subunit ribosomal RNA
Rfam family: Eukaryotic large subunit ribosomal RNA
Source: RNAcentral
GCAUAUCAAUAAGCGGAGGAAAAGAAACCAACAGGGAUUGCCUCAGUAACGGCGAGUGAAGCGGCAACAGCUCAAAUUUGAAAUCUGACUUCGGUCCGAGUUGUAAUUUGCAGAGGGUAUUUGGAAAUUGAUACGGGCUUAAGUCCCUUGGAACAGGGCGUCAUAGAGGGUGAGAAUCCCGUAUGUGGCCAUAUGUCAAUUUCAUGUCAGAUCCCUUCGACGAGUCGAGUUGUUUGGGAAUGCAGCUCAAAAUGGGUGGUAAAUUUCAUCUAAAGCUAAAUACCGGCCAGAGACCGAUAGCGCACAAGUAGAGUGAUCGAAAGAUGAAAAGCACUUUGGAAAGAGAGUGAAACAGUACGUGAAAUUGUUGAAAGGGAAGCGCUUGCCAUUAGACCGAUCUUUAGGCUGCAGUUCAGAGUCAACUCUGGACGUAAAGCACCUGAUUUUCGGCCAGCAUCGGUUUAGGUGGUUUGAUAAAGACUGUAAGAACGUAGCUCUUCGGAGUGUUAUAGCUUAUAGUGUAAUGAAAUCUACCUGGACCGAGGACCGCGCUUCGGCUAGGAUGCUGGCGUAAUGAUGGCAAGCGACCCGUCUUGAAACACGGACCAAGGAGUGGUAUGCAUAUGCAAGUGUUUGGGUGUUAAACCCAUACGCGGAAUGAAAGUGAACGAAGAUGAGAACCUUAGGGUGCAUCAUCGCCUGAACCCAAUGUUUUCGGAGGGUCUUAAGGAGGAGCAUAUUUGUACCGACCCGAAAGAUGGUGAACUAUGCGCGAAUAGAGUGAAGCCAGAGGAAACUCUGGUGGAGGCUCGCAGCGGUUCUGACGUGCAAAUCGAUCGUCAAAUUUACGCAUAGGGGCGAAAGACCAAUCGAACUAUCUAGUAGCUGGUUCCUGC